RNAcentral lists this ribosomal RNA (253 nucleotides) under uncultured bacterium. RNAcentral's name for it is "partial 16S ribosomal RNA". It matches the Rfam family "Bacterial small subunit ribosomal RNA", at positions 524 to 776 of the family's 1533-position model. The record is from RNAcentral.
UACAGAGGGGGCAAGCGUUGUUCGGAAUUACUGGGCGUAAAGGGCGCGUAGGCGGCCUUCUAAGUCGAACGUGAAAUCCCCGGGCUCAACCCGGGAACUGCGUCCGAGACUGAAAGGCUUGAAUCCGGGAGAGGGAUGUGGAAUUCCAGGUGUAGCGGUGAAAUGCGUAGAUAUCUGGAGGAACACCGGUGGCGAAGGCGGGUCUCUGGGCAGUAACUGACGCUGAGGAGCGAAAGCGUGGGGAGCGAACAGG